UUUCAUUCAAAUUUGAAAUAUAAAAGAGUUACAAUGUACAUUGACAGUUACCUAAUGUAUUUAACUGCCCCAACUAAUACAAACCUAAUCACUAGCCAAAAAAAUAAUCAAAUAUAGCUGACCAAUCAGCCAUUACAUCAAAAGAUCUUAUCACUAACUUAAGUUUAACUAGUAUUACAAACAAACUAAAAUUGAACCGAACCAAAUUACAUCAAAACAAAACAGCAAAGUUGGUUGCUUCAUUCGGUUCAAAAAACCAUUCGUGCGCACCAAGCAAAAUGAGCUGAGCUCGAUAGCUGCUGGUCUCGACAGUAGCAAGCUUCUGGCUCCAUGUUGCAUUGCAGUC
RNAcentral lists this long non-coding RNA (346 nucleotides) under Gossypium barbadense (sea-island cotton). RNAcentral's name for it is "long non-coding RNA (GBAR_LNC003949)". The record is from RNAcentral. Lineage: Eukaryota; Viridiplantae; Streptophyta; Magnoliopsida; Malvales; Malvaceae.